Molecule: unclassified non-coding RNA, 345 nt
Filed under: soil metagenome
Description: partial contains 5.8S ribosomal RNA, internal transcribed spacer 2, and large subunit ribosomal RNA
Rfam family: 5.8S ribosomal RNA (bases 1-120)
Source: RNAcentral
GAUGAAGAACGCAGCGAAAUGCGAUACGUAAUGUGAAUUGCAGAAUUCAGUGAAUCAUCGAGUCUUUGAACGCACAUUGCGCCCCCUGGUAUUCCGGGGGGCAUGCCUGUCCGAGCGUCAUUGCUGCCCUCAAGCACGGCUUGUGUGUUGGGCCUCCGUCCUCCUCCCGGGGGACGGGCCCGAAAGGCAGCGGCGGCACCGCGUCCGGUCCUCGAGCGUAUGGGGCUUCGUCACCCGCUCUUGUAGGCCCGGCCGGCGCUUGCCGACACAUCAAUCUUUUUUCCAGGUUGACCUCGGAUCAGGUAGGGAUACCCGCUGAACUUAAGCAUCUCAAUAAGCGGAGGA